This 508-nucleotide ribosomal RNA is filed under the name uncultured bacterium. Its description in RNAcentral is "bacterial SSU rRNA". It matches the Rfam family "Bacterial small subunit ribosomal RNA", at positions 15 to 518 of the family's 1533-position model. The record is from RNAcentral.
GAUUCUGGCUCAGGAUGAACGCUAGCGGCAGGCUUAACACAUGCAAGUCGAGGGGCAGCGGGGAUAGCAAUAUCCGCCGGCGACCGGCGAAAGGGUGCGUAACGCGUGAGCAACCUGCCCGUAUCCGGGGCAUAAGCGGUGGAAACGCCGUCUAAUUUCCCAUAACAACAGAGGCUGCAUGACCUUUGUUUGAAAGAUCCGUCGGAUACGGAUGGGCUCGCGAGACAUUAGCUAGUCGGCGUGGUAACGGCACACCGAGGCGACGAUGUCUAGGGGUUCUGAGAGGAAGGUCCCCCACACUGGAACUGAGACACGGUCCAGACUCCUACGGGAGGCAGCAGUGAGGAAUAUUGGUCAAUGGGCGCAAGCCUGAACCAGCCAUGCCGCGUGAAGGAAAUGAGGCCCUAUGGGUCGUAAACUUCUUUUGUGGUGGAGCAAUAAGGCGUACGUGUACGCCGAUGAGAGUACAUCACGAAUAAGCAUCGGCUAACUCCGUGCCAGCCGCGGC